GAUGAACGCUGGCGGCGUGCUUAACACAUGCAAGUCGAACGGGAAACCUUUUAUUGAAGCUUCGGCAGAUUUAGCUGGUUUCUAGUGGCGGACGGGUGAGUAACGCGUGGGUAACCUGCCUUAUACAGGGGGAUAACAACCAGAAAUGGUUGCUAAUACCGCAUAAGCGCACAGGACCGCAUGGUCCGGUGUGAAAAACUCCGGUGGUAUAAGAUGGACCCGCGUUGGAUUAGCUAGUUGGCAGGGUAACGGCCUACCAAGGCGACGAUCCAUAGCCGGCCGGGGAGGGUGAACGGCCACAUUGGGACUGAGACACGGCCCAGACUCCUACGGGAGGCAGCAGUGGGGAAUAUUGCACAAUGGGGGAAACCCUGAUGCAGCGACGCCGGGUGAAGGAAGAAGUAUCUCGGUAUGUAAACUUCUAUCAGCAGGGAAGAUAGUGACGGUACCUGAAGAAGAAGCCCCGGCUAACUACGUG
This 478-nucleotide ribosomal RNA is filed under the name uncultured bacterium. RNAcentral describes it as "partial 16S ribosomal RNA". It matches the Rfam family "Bacterial small subunit ribosomal RNA", at positions 28 to 507 of the family's 1533-position model. The record is from RNAcentral.